UGCGGCACCGGGACACCCUGGCUGAUAGGCAAGCAAGAGUCUUAGAUGUAAGGAACACAUCAAAAGAAAGGCAAGUCAUGACAAUCUGUGCACUAAAGGAAAAAAAGGCUGUUAACACACUUCAAGACGAACGACAAUUCUUGAGAGUGGUUGUCCCCGAACCUAGCUUUGAAAAAUUGCACGCAUACCUUGGUUGCUCUAACUGCAACUAGCGAACCAAUGUGCCAGCAGGGGAGACACACACAUGCCUUAAUUGUGGACAGAAAAAUGUCAUCUCCAUCCCUAGAGUUACUUUCAACUGCGACGUCUCUGAUGGAAAUGCCACGCUCCAAGUCACAAUAUUCAGCAAGGAUUUGGAAAAGCUUUUCAAAUUACCGGUUGAAGACA
Long non-coding RNA from Beta vulgaris subsp. vulgaris (sugar beet), 387 nucleotides. RefSeq lists it as uncharacterized. Lineage: Eukaryota; Viridiplantae; Streptophyta; Magnoliopsida; Caryophyllales; Amaranthaceae. The record is from RefSeq and is a predicted model, not a curated record. The transcript has 3 exons.